This 200-nucleotide long non-coding RNA is filed under the name Elaeis guineensis (African oil palm). Its description in RNAcentral is "long non-coding RNA (EGUI_LNC064969)". The record is from RNAcentral. Lineage: Eukaryota; Viridiplantae; Streptophyta; Magnoliopsida; Arecales; Arecaceae.
UUGUUUGUUUACCCAGUUGGCAUGCAUCACAAAUUCUAUCCUUUUCAAAAUUUAAUUUUGACAAACCAAGAACUAAUUCUUUCUUAAUUAAUUUUGAAAGAGAAUGCAUGCUAAUGUGUGCAAGUCUGCGAUGCCAAAGCCAACUAGUCUCAUUAACUUUAGCAUUCUAGGAUACUAGGCAUUGCAUGUUUAUUUUGGCU